UUCCUCAUCGACGUCGAUCGACAUGCUGCAAUCCAUAAGGAAUCCACCACAGCCGAUACGAACGUCGUUCGCACGUAGCGUUGAACGCGAUGGGCAGAUAGAGGCCGAGGCCUUGUGCCCACAACAUGUUCCGCAUCCGAGAGUUCGAGCAUUACGCCUUGGGUGGGCUCUUCGAGUGCAUACGUACACACGAAUGCCAACCACGACGCAUGCUGUGAGUUCCAAUCCGCAGCACGACACCAUCGGGCGACGCGGAGCAGAAUGAAAAGGGACGAUUUUGCUGUCUUAAUGCCAUAAAGAUAGGUAUCGAGCACAGGGGGCCGCGAUCGAACAGGGUCUCGUGAG
Molecule: unclassified non-coding RNA, 345 nt
Filed under: Prostanthera eckersleyana
Lineage: Eukaryota; Viridiplantae; Streptophyta; Magnoliopsida; Lamiales; Lamiaceae
Description: partial external transcribed spacer
Source: RNAcentral